RNAcentral lists this small RNA (168 nucleotides) under Streptococcus pyogenes. Lineage: Bacteria; Bacillati; Bacillota; Bacilli; Lactobacillales; Streptococcaceae. The record is from RNAcentral.
AUUCCUUAAUAGGAUAAGUAUUUGGUUGUAGAAGUAUCGUCUUAAACUAAUGCUAUCUCAACCCGAUUCCCAUCUUAUUCACCCCUCCUAUACCGAUAAGGUUUCACAAAGUGUGAGACCUUAUUUUUUGACUUCAGCUCUAGUUAUGGAGAAACUUGUUGAUACAAG